AAUCAACGCUGGCGGCGUGCCUAAUACAUGCAAGUCGAACGCGAGAGGGGGCUUCGGCCCCAAUUGAGUGGCAAACGGGUGAGUAACACGUGGGUGAUCUACCUUCGAGUGGGGGAUAACGUUUCGAAAGGAACGCUAAUACCGCAUAACAUCCUGUCUUUAGACAGAUGGAGAUCAAAGCCGGGACGCAAGGCCUGGCGCUUGAAGAGGAGCCCGCGCCCGAUUAGCUAGNGGUGAGGUAACGGCUCACCAAGGCGACGAUCGGUAGCCGGCCUGAGAGGGCGGAC
This 287-nucleotide ribosomal RNA is filed under the name uncultured bacterium. Its description in RNAcentral is "partial 16S ribosomal RNA". It matches the Rfam family "Bacterial small subunit ribosomal RNA", at positions 32 to 305 of the family's 1533-position model. The record is from RNAcentral.